CCUACGGGUGGCAGCAGUGAGGAAUAUUGGUCAAUGGACGAGAGCCUGAACCAGCCAAGUAGCGUGAAGGAUGACUGCCCUAUGGGUUGUAAACUUCUUUUAUAUGGGAAUAAAAUGUUCCACGUGUGGGAUUUUGUAUGUACCAUAUGAAUAAGGAUCGGCUAACUCCGUGCCAACAGCCGCGGUAAUACGGAGGAUCCGAGCGUUAUCCGGAUUUAUUGGGUUUAAAGGGUGCGUAGGUGGAUUGUUAAGUCAGUUGUGAAAGUUUGCGGCUCAACCGUAAAAUUGCAGUUGAAACUGGCAGUCUUGAGUACAGUAGAGGUGGGCGGAAUUCGUGGUGUAGCGGGGAAAUGCUUAGAUAUCACGAAGAACUCCGAUUGCGAAGGCAGCUCACUGGACUGCAACUGACACUGAGGCUCGAAAGUGUGGGUAUCAAACAGGAUUAGAUACCCCAGUAGUC
This 460-nucleotide ribosomal RNA is filed under the name uncultured bacterium. RNAcentral's name for it is "partial 16S ribosomal RNA". It matches the Rfam family "Bacterial small subunit ribosomal RNA", at positions 338 to 795 of the family's 1533-position model. The record is from RNAcentral.